CCCAUGAGAACAAUACCCAAUAAAAUGCAAUUCGAUCUUUUCUCAACAACUCCUUCUCUGUUCGAUCUUCUCUUACUACCACUCUUCCUCGUUCCUAAGGAACACAUAUAUGUCGAUAUGCGAAGAGAGGUAAACACAUUCUGACACAACGUUUAGAGACAGUCAUUGCUGUAUCUGAGCCAAAGUUCUGAGCCAAAGUUCCGUCCUGAAGAGAACCAACGUUUCCACGCAACAAAUCACUUGUCUCGCAUUAAGGUGAAUUUGCAAAUACAAACGAGUUGCAAUGUCUCAUCUUCUUGGUGUAGGGGAUGUGGUAACAAUAAGUGUUGAUGAGAAAACAUUGAAGAAAAACCAAGAAGAUCAUGGAGGCUGGGAUUUCCGUUUGUCAAGUCUUAUAGGUGAUGUUGGUGAAGUUACGGGAAUCGAUUAUAGAAGAGAUGCAAGUGUGAAAUUCAAGAAAUACAAUGACGUAUUUACCAUUAAUUCAGCGAGUCUCUUAGUUUACAAUCCUGAACAGAAAUGAGAUUACUCAGAGUUAGAAACGGAAGACAUCCAUCUAAUAUGAUUAAUUCAGCUGCUUUUUCUAUCUGCCUCUCUGACUCCUCUCUUUCUCUGAAGUCUGGACCAUAUUCCUUUUACUGAGAAUACAGAUGUAAUCUAUUUCUUUCUUUCAUUUUCUUUUUCUUCGACUUCUACUUCUCCUCCUCCUCCCCCUCCUCCUCCCCUUCUCUCCCUCCCCCUCCUUUCUCCCUUCUCCUCCACUCAUCCCAUAAUGAUGACGCUGACACAGAAGCUUUCUUCAAUCACCACCUCUCAGCAUCAAUUACUUCUGGGUCAGAAAAUUCUCGAACUCAACAACUGCAAACACCCACAACAAACCUCUUGUCUAAGAGCCACUGCGAAGGAAAUACUGCUUCGACAUCUCGGACAAUGUUCAGGCUGCACAUGCUAACCUCCAAGACCAGCUCCAAGAAAGCUACUGGCGUCAUUCAGAUGAAGUCGUUUUCUCUCUGACACAGAAGCAUCCUUUCACUUCUCUCCCUCUCUUUCCUUUUCUACUUCUACAACUAUUGGCUGUAUUCAUUACGUCCAGACUCACACUUCUCUCUUCCUCUUCGCCCGUAUUUUGUUUCUUCUUCUGCCUUACUUAAAUCUUAUAAUUCGACAGUUAAAUCUGCAGUAAAUUGUAAUUGUCAACGUUUCAACUUCAAUAAAUAUCUUUAUAACUAUA
Molecule: long non-coding RNA, 1231 nt
Organism: Octopus sinensis (East Asian common octopus)
Lineage: Eukaryota; Metazoa; Mollusca; Cephalopoda; Octopoda; Octopodidae
Exons: 4
Source: RefSeq, a predicted model, not a curated record